UGGUGUAGCUCAAUGGUAGAGCAGCUGAUUUGUAAUCAGCAGGUUGUAGGUUCAAAUCCUAUCACC
Molecule: transfer RNA, 66 nt
Filed under: marine eukaryotic metagenome
Rfam family: tRNA
About the family: Transfer RNA (tRNA) molecules are approximately 80 nucleotides in length. Their secondary structure includes four short double-helical elements and three loops (D, anti-codon, and T loops).
Source: RNAcentral